GAUGAACGCUGGCGGCGUGCCUAAUACAUGCAAGUCGAGCGAACAGACGAGGAGCUUGCUCCUCUGACGUUAGCGGCGGACGGGUGAGUAACACGUGGAUAACCUACCUAUAGGACUGGGAUAACUUCGGGAAACCGGAGCUAAUACCGGAUAAUAUAUUGAACCGCAUGGUUCAAUAGUGAAAGACGGUUUUGCUGUCACUUAUAGAUGGAUCCGCGCCGCAUUAGCUAGUUGGUAAGGUAACGGCUUACCAAGGCAACGAUGCGUAGCCGACCUGAGAGGGUGAUCGGCCACACUGGAACUGAGACACGGUCCAGACUCCUACGGGAGGCAGCAGUAGGGAAUCUGCCGCAAUGGGCGAAAGCCUGACGGAGCAACGCCGCGUGAGUGAUGAAGGUCUUCGGAUCGUAAAACUCUGUUAUGAGGGAAGAACAAAUGUGUAAGUAACUAUGCACGUCUUGACGGUACCUAAUCAGAAAGCCACGGCUAACUACGUG
Molecule: ribosomal RNA, 497 nt
Filed under: uncultured bacterium
Lineage: Bacteria
Description: partial 16S ribosomal RNA
Rfam family: Bacterial small subunit ribosomal RNA
Source: RNAcentral